UAGCCGGUUAGAGUCCGGUCCAAGGAGACGCCAGAGUCCUUGGUAGGGAAGCCUCCGGGUUUGAUAGAGAUGUCAGGGUCGAAGCGGGGUGGACCAAAUGUGCGGUCCGCAGCAUAAAGCGAAUUCUCAAAGCGUCGUAA
This is a non-coding RNA of Ferrithrix thermotolerans DSM 19514, 140 nucleotides long. The record is from Rfam. NCBI's taxonomy places the organism in Bacteria, Bacillati, Actinomycetota, Acidimicrobiia, Acidimicrobiales, Acidimicrobiaceae.